UUGAAGGAUUGGAGUUGGAUUGAAGGAUGAAGAGAAGUGAAUCGAAGUUGUGAAGGUUUCGGUUGCGGUGGAAGCGGUGGUGGCUCUUUGAAGAAGAAAGAGGAGGUUGAAAUGGUGGUUCUUUGGAGAAGAAAGAGGAGGUUGAAGUGGCGGUUAACGGUUUUGUGAGUUUGUUACGGUUGUUGAAGGAAGUGAGAAGAAGCUCGGUUAGGGAGGGUUUUGCAGAAUGAAGAAGGUAGAAGGUGAUGAAGUGGAAUCCCCGGAAGAAUGAGAGGGAGUGAAGGUAAGCUUUUAUAGAUUUCUGAGUUUCUUUCUCCUCUCAUUCUGUUAUGAAUUGGUUACCGAUUUUGUUAGGUUGUUUUGAGUUUGUUAUGAAUUCUGUUAGACGGAAUUUCUUGGGACGAGCUUUGUUAGUUUCAAUUAUACUGAAUGUCAAGCUAAUGUGAAGUUCUUCUAUUAGAGAGUAUUGUUAGAAGCUUGACAGGUGAAUUGUUUUUGGGUUUGCACGGCCUGAAGUAUCCAUGUUGCAGUUUGCUACAUGCGUGCGUUCUGUUUUC
Molecule: long non-coding RNA, 557 nt
Filed under: Lathyrus oleraceus (garden pea)
Lineage: Eukaryota; Viridiplantae; Streptophyta; Magnoliopsida; Fabales; Fabaceae
Description: Pisum sativum (pea) long non-coding RNA (PSAT_LNC009648)
Source: RNAcentral